RNAcentral lists this ribosomal RNA (443 nucleotides) under uncultured bacterium. Its description in RNAcentral is "partial 16S ribosomal RNA". It matches the Rfam family "Bacterial small subunit ribosomal RNA", at positions 338 to 795 of the family's 1533-position model. The record is from RNAcentral.
UCUACGGGAGGCAGCAGUGGGGAAUAUUGGGCAAUGGGCGCAAGCCUGACCCAGCAACGCCGCGUGAAGGAAGAAGGCUUUCGGGUUGUAAACUUCUUUUCUGAGGGACGAAGAAAGUGACGGUACCUCAGGACUAAGCCACGGCUAACUACGUGCCAGCAGCCGCGGUAAUACGUAGGUGGCAAGCGUUAUCCGGAUUUAUUGGGUGUAAAGGGCGUGUAGGCGGGAAAGCAAGUCAGAUGUGAAAACUCAGGGCUCAACCCUGAGCCUGCAUUUGAAACUGUGCUGCUAGAGUGUCGGAGAGGCAGGCGGAAUUCCUAGUGUAGCGGUGAAAUGCGUAGAUAUUAGGAGGAACACCAGUGGCGAAGGCGGCCUGCUGGACGAUGACUGACGUUGAGGCUCGAAAGCGUGGGGAGCAAACAGGAUUAGAUACCCCAGUAGUC